UACGAAGGGGGCUAGCGUUGCUCGGAAUGACUGGGCGUAAAGGGCGCGUAGGCGGAUGGCACAGUCAGAUGUGAAAUUCCCGGGCUUAACCUGGGGGCUGCAUUUGAUACGUGUUGUCUUGAGUUCGGAAGAGGGUCGUAGAAUUCCCAGUGUAGAGGUGAAAUGCGCAGAUAUCGGGAAGAACACCCGUGGCGAAGGCGGCUCUCUGGGACGGUACUGACGCUGAGACGCGAAAGCGUGGGGAGCGAACAGG
RNAcentral lists this ribosomal RNA (253 nucleotides) under uncultured bacterium. RNAcentral describes it as "partial 16S ribosomal RNA". It matches the Rfam family "Bacterial small subunit ribosomal RNA", at positions 524 to 776 of the family's 1533-position model. The record is from RNAcentral.